Molecule: ribosomal RNA, 481 nt
Filed under: uncultured bacterium
Lineage: Bacteria
Description: partial 16S ribosomal RNA
Rfam family: Bacterial small subunit ribosomal RNA
Source: RNAcentral
GAUGAACGCUGGCGGCGUGCCUAACACAUGCAAGUCGAGCGAAGCGCUUAAAUUAGAUUUCUUCGGAAUGACGAUUUUUGUGACUGAGCGGCGGACGGGUGAGUAACGCGUGGGUAACCUGCCUCAUACAGGGGGAUAACAGUUAGAAAUGACUGCUAAUACCGCAUAAGACCCCAGCUUCGCAUGAAGCGGUGGUAAAAACUCCGGUGGUAUGAGAUGGACCCGCGUCUGAUUAGCUAGUUGGUAAGGUAACGGCUUACCAAGGCGACGAUCAGUAGCCGACCUGAGAGGGUGACCGGCCACAUUGGGACUGAGACACGGCCCAGACUCCUACGGGAGGCGGCAGUGGGGAAUAUUGCACAAUGGGGGAAACCCUGAUGCAGCGACGCCGCGUGAAGGAUGAAGUAUUUCGGUAUGUAAACUUCUAUCAGCAGGGAAGAAAGUGACGGUACCUGACUAAGAAGCCCCGGCUAACUACGUG